AUUCUUAAAUUAAGGAUUAUUUAUCCCAUUAAGUAUUUGAAUACAUAAAUUACACGGUUAUACUAUUGAAGAAAUAUAUAGUCUACGAAUAUUCUUAUAUAAAUAUUCCUGAUACAAAUGCUUAUAGAAUGUAUCAUUGUAUAUCAGUUGCAAGGAAUUUGGAAGAACAUCUUUAUUAUACCAGUAUUUAGAAUUUGACAGAAUUACGGGGAAGUUUUAUCAACAUCGCUAUAAAGGGAAUUGCAUCUGAGAGGAGGAGAAUGUAAUUUAUUGUUAAUGGCAUAUGAAAGGAUCGAAUGUGACAGAAGAAAUUUUUAAAUCGUCCGAUUGGCAGGCGGCCGGUGUGUUAUCUGAAACCGCACUCUAGUCCCUGACAGAUAUAUAGAGCGAGGACAAAGUUCGAGAUGCACGUGGCCAUCAAAAGAGCACGUUUUUCUCCUCGACAUAUGCGCUCGGAGAUCAUUUGAUUUAAAAAAUUUACAAGAAAUAAAGUAAUUUAUAAAAGUAAAUAAAUCACAAAUAUGCGAGUAUAAUUUGUGUAAU
Molecule: long non-coding RNA, 543 nt
Organism: Centruroides sculpturatus (bark scorpion)
Lineage: Eukaryota; Metazoa; Arthropoda; Arachnida; Scorpiones; Buthidae
Exons: 3
Source: RefSeq, a predicted model, not a curated record